UGGGGUGUCAAAAUCCAAAUUAAUGCCAAUUAUGAAGAGUCCAAGUUGUGAAAAACUCUUAGUGCAAAUCAGAUUCAGCGUGCGCGUGUUGGUGUGAGCAGAAGGAGCCCUUCUAGAAUAGGAUUAAGACAUGUAUGAUAAUUCACAUCACUCUUCAUCUUUUGAUACACAUCUCAAAGUAUGAGAUAGAUUCUAGAAUUUUUGGGGUAGAAAAAAAUUAGAAAAGAGAAGGA
RNAcentral lists this long non-coding RNA (233 nucleotides) under Elaeis guineensis (African oil palm). Its description in RNAcentral is "long non-coding RNA (EGUI_LNC048486)". The record is from RNAcentral. Lineage: Eukaryota; Viridiplantae; Streptophyta; Magnoliopsida; Arecales; Arecaceae.